This 497-nucleotide ribosomal RNA is filed under the name uncultured bacterium. Its description in RNAcentral is "partial 16S ribosomal RNA". It matches the Rfam family "Bacterial small subunit ribosomal RNA", at positions 28 to 507 of the family's 1533-position model. The record is from RNAcentral.
GAUGAACGCUGGCGGCGUGCCUAAUACAUGCAAGUCGAGCGAACAGAUGAGGAGCUUGCUCCUCUGACGUUAGCGGCGGACGGGUGAGUAACACGUGGAUAACCUACCUAUAAGACUGGGAUAACUUCGGGAAACCGGAGCUAAUACCGGAUAAUAUAUUGAACCGCAUGGUUCAAUAGUGAAAGACGGUUUUGCUGUCACUUAUAGAUGGAUCCGCGCCGCAUUAGCUAGUUGGUAAGGUAACGGCUUACCAAGGCAACGAUGCGUAGCCGACCUGAGAGGGUGAUCGGCCACACUGGAACUGAGACACGGUCCAGACUCCUACGGGAGGCAGCAGUAGGGAAUCUUCCGCAAUGGGCGCAAGCCUGACGGAGCAACGCCGCGUGAGUGAUGAAGGUCUUCGGAUCGUAAAGCUCUGUUAUUAGGGAAGAACAAAUGUGUAAGUAACUAUGCACGUCUUGACGGUACCUAAUCAGAAAGCCACGGCUAACUACGUG